Molecule: long non-coding RNA, 787 nt
Filed under: Ananas comosus (pineapple)
Lineage: Eukaryota; Viridiplantae; Streptophyta; Magnoliopsida; Poales; Bromeliaceae
Description: long non-coding RNA (ACOM_LNC038924)
Source: RNAcentral
AUAUAUAUAUAUAGUUCGGCUACUAUACUAUUGAUAGUAUCAAGUUCUUGGUACUAUUAAAUUUUCUACCGUUAGAUCAACCCUUUGAUCAUUUUCACCGUUAAAUUAUACUAUUAAACCAACCACCCACUCAACCCUAGGGGACCACUAUCAAUUUAACCGGGGACCACUAUCAUCCUAACCGCACAUCCUUUCAUCCAACGGACAAAAACUCAAUAGUACCAAGGGCUUGGUACUAUUGAUAGUAUAGUAGCAUAUAUAUAUAUAUAUAGAAUUAGGUUGGAAUACUAUUAAUAGUAAAACGCUCUUUUUGCUAUCAAGUUUUUAACCAUUGGAUGAAAAAUUAUAGGGUCAGAAUGAUAUUAGUCGGUUAGAGUUGAGUGGUCCUCCUAGGGUUGAGUGGUGCCCACUAGGUUAUAGUAUUUAAUCCAAUGGUUAGAAAUAAUAAAAAGAGUUGAUCUAAAGUCUAAAAAACUGAUAGCAACAAUAGAAUUUUGCUACUAAUAGUAGCCCAGUCCAACUCUCUCUCUCUCUCUUUCUAUAUAUAUUUAUAGUAGGUCUUGUGUGCUCUCGGGAGCACGGAACCCUUCGUGCUCCUGAGCCGUUUUCGAUUAUGGGACUUCCGAAUCGACGAUCAGCUCCGCUAGACUUGAUCUAGCGUAUUUAAAGUUGCUAGAAAAUAAUUUUUGCGAUUUUUCGAUAUCAUUUACCUAGCAGUCGAAAGGAUUCAAAAUCAAUAAUUUUUAACCAUGUGCCAACUCGAUAUUAAAUUAAUUUUUUGUGGGGG